RNAcentral lists this ribosomal RNA (783 nucleotides) under Triticum aestivum (bread wheat). RNAcentral describes it as "partial small subunit ribosomal RNA". Lineage: Eukaryota; Viridiplantae; Streptophyta; Magnoliopsida; Poales; Poaceae. The record is from RNAcentral.
AUGGCUGGCUUGGAAGGUUUCGAGUUCUUCGAGAUCGUAAUUGAGAAAUCUUGUAGUAGGCAGAGGCUGCCUGACAAGUUUGCGAAGAUGCUCGCCGGCCGUGAGCCCCACAAAGUGAAGCUGCGGGAGGCCGGCAGCGGGCUUCACAGGCUGUGGGAAGUGUGGGUGGUGUUUGAUGGUGAAGGCCACAUGUACCUAGGGCCCGGCUGGGAGCAUUUCGCCCGCGCCCAUGAGCUACAGCUCGGGUACUUCCUUGUCUUCCGCUACGACGGCGACUCCAUGUUCACCGUGAAGAUGUUCAACAACACCAUGUGCCGCAUGUACUACCAGCACGACGACGAUGCCAGCAAUGGGAGCAGCAGCAGGGAUGACGAGGAGCAGAGCGGGGAUGACGACAAGGAGCAGAGCGGGGAUGAUGAGCAGAGCGGGGAUGACGAGGAGCAGAGCGGGGAUGAUGAGGAGCAUCCUAUUCUGGCUGAUGACGAACAUGCUAUGGUGGUGGCUGACGACGACCCUGCUAUGGUGGUGGCGGAUAACGACCUUACUAUGGUGGUGGCGGACGACGACCUUGCUAUGGUGGUGGCGGACGACGACCUCGUGAUGGUGGUGGCGGACGACGACCUUGCUAUGGUGCUGGCGGACGACGACCUCGCGAUGGUGACGGCGCCUGCAAUCCCACAGCUUGGCGACAGGACCAUGCCAAUUGUGGUAGAGGAGUACAUCCGCAUUGGGAUUCGCCACUCUGAGCGCAUCAGGUUGAUGAAGGAGAAGAAGGAUGAGUGA